RNAcentral lists this ribosomal RNA (464 nucleotides) under uncultured bacterium. RNAcentral's name for it is "partial 16S ribosomal RNA". It matches the Rfam family "Bacterial small subunit ribosomal RNA", at positions 28 to 507 of the family's 1533-position model. The record is from RNAcentral.
GACGAACGCUGGCGGCGUGCUUAACACAUGCAAGUCGAACGGUAAGGCCCCAGCUUGCUGGGGUACACGAGUGGCGAACGGGUGAGUAACACGUGGGUGACCUGCCCCGCACUUCGGGAUAAGCCUGGGAAACUGGGUCUAAUACCGGAUAGGACCGCACCGUGAGGGGGUGGUGGAAAGUUUUUCGGUGUGGGAUGGGCCCGCGGCCUAUCAGCUUGUUGGUGGGGUAAUGGCCUACCAAGGCGGCGACGGGUAGCCGGCCUGAGAGGGUGGGCGGCCACAUUGGGACGGAGACACGGCCCAGACUCCUACGGGAGGCAGCAGUGGGGAAUAUUGCACAAUGGGCGGAAGCCUGAUGCAGCGACGCCGCGUGGGGGAUGACGGCCUUCGGGUUGUAAACUCCUUUCACCAUCGACGAAGGUUUUCUGACGGUAGAUGGAGAAGAAGCACCGGCUAACUACGUG